RNAcentral lists this ribosomal RNA (499 nucleotides) under uncultured bacterium. RNAcentral's name for it is "partial 16S ribosomal RNA". It matches the Rfam family "Bacterial small subunit ribosomal RNA", at positions 28 to 507 of the family's 1533-position model. The record is from RNAcentral.
GACGAACGCUGGCGGCGUGCCUAAUACAUGCAAGUCGUGCGGACCUUUUAAAAGCUUGCUUUUAAAAGGUUAGCGGCGGACGGGUGAGUAACACGUGGGCAACCUGCCUGUAAGAUUGGGAUAACGCCGGGAAACCGGGGCUAAUACCAGAUCGUUUUUUCCUCCGCAUGGAGGAAAAAGGAAAGGCGGCUUCGGCUGCCACUUACAGAUGGGCCCGCGGCGCAUUAGCUAGUUGGCGGGGUAACGGCCUACCAAGGCAACGAUGCGUAGCCGACCUGAGAGGGUGAUCGGCCACAUUGGGACUGAGACACGGCCCAAACUCCUACGGGAGGCAGCAGUAGGGAAUCUUCCGCAAUGGACGAAAGUCUGACGGAGCAACGCCGCGUGAGUGAAGAAGGCCUUCGGGUCGUAAAACUCUGUUGCCGGGGAAGAACAAGUGCCGUUCGAACAGGGCGGCGCCUUGACGGUACCCGGCCAGAAAGCCACGGCUAACUACGUG